GUUUACACUGUAUAGGAUUCGCUGCUCACGACAUCUUCGUUUGCUGCCCAGGAGCAACAUUUAACAACAAAGGUUUACUCUUUCGAUAACUUCUGUAUGUUUCUGCUCGUUACUACCAUUAUAAAUGUUUAGGGCUUUAGGCUAUUUCGUUGACUGUUAAAACUGAUAGUGUUGGUCUACAUAUCUUUCAAAAUUUGCUCUCUGAUUGGCUGUUUUAUUAACCGUUU
This is a non-coding RNA of Paramuricea clavata, 227 nucleotides long. The record is from the annotation of a GenBank genome assembly. NCBI's taxonomy places the organism in Eukaryota, Metazoa, Cnidaria, Anthozoa, Malacalcyonacea, Plexauridae.